AAAAGAUAGAGAGAAAUGAAGAGGAAGAAGAAGCAAAAAAGUUAAGUGAGGGAGAUAAAAAUGAUGAUAAGGAAAAAGAAGUGGUUGAAAGAAAAGAAAAAAAGAAAAAAAUGAGAAAAGAAAGAAAAAAAUAAGAGAAAAUAAAAAGAGAAAGUUGAGGGAGGAAAAGACUGAAAAAAAAGGAAGAGAGGAAAGAAGAAAAGAUCACAUGAAAAACCCCUUCCUCACAAAAAGAAAAAUCAUAGGAAGGAAAAGAAGUUCAAGUAUUUUAUGGAGAUCUUCAAGAAAUUAGAGAUUAAAAUUACUAUGGUUGAAACAUGGAAGCAUGUGCUUGGUGUUCUCAACUUUAUGAAGAAAUUGAACAGGGAGAAGAAAAAGAAAAGAAUAUCAAAAGAGAAGAUU
This 402-nucleotide long non-coding RNA is filed under the name Vigna radiata. Its description in RNAcentral is "long non-coding RNA (VRAD_LNC012347)". Lineage: Eukaryota; Viridiplantae; Streptophyta; Magnoliopsida; Fabales; Fabaceae. The record is from RNAcentral.